RNAcentral lists this ribosomal RNA (108 nucleotides) under Salvator merianae (Argentine black and white tegu). The record is from RNAcentral. Lineage: Eukaryota; Metazoa; Chordata; Lepidosauria; Squamata; Teiidae.
CUUUUCAUUUUGACUGGCAAUUUUAUCUGAGCUCAGAAGCUAAGAUGGGUCAGACCUGGUUUGUACUUGGAUGGGAAUACCUGGGAUUGUAGGCUAGGAUUGGGAAGU